UACGAACUGUGCGAACGUUAUUCGGAAUCACUGGGCUUAAAGGGCGCGUAGGCGGGCUGACAAGUCUGGGGUGAAAUGCCGCGGCUCAACCGUGGAACUGCCUUAGAUACUGUCGGCCUCGAGGAAGGUAGGGGCAUGCGGAAUUGUAGGUGGAGCGGUGAAAUGCGUUGAUAUCUACAGGAACUCCGGUGGCGAAAGCGGCGUGCUGGACCUUUUCUGACGCUGAGGCGCGAAAGCUAGGGGAGCAAACGGG
RNAcentral lists this ribosomal RNA (253 nucleotides) under uncultured bacterium. RNAcentral describes it as "partial 16S ribosomal RNA". It matches the Rfam family "Bacterial small subunit ribosomal RNA", at positions 524 to 776 of the family's 1533-position model. The record is from RNAcentral.